Molecule: ribosomal RNA, 253 nt
Filed under: uncultured bacterium
Lineage: Bacteria
Description: partial 16S ribosomal RNA
Rfam family: Bacterial small subunit ribosomal RNA
Source: RNAcentral
UACGGAGGAUCCAAGCGUUAUCCGGAUUCAUUGGGUUUAAAGGGUGCGUAGGCGGAUUUGUAAGUCAGCGGUGAAAUCCUACAGCUUAACUGUAGAACUGCCGUUGAUACUGCAAGUCUUGAGUACAUUUGAUGUGGGCGGAAUGUGUCAUGUAGCGGUGAAAUGCUUAGAUAUGACACGGAACACCGAUUGCGAAGGCAGCUCACAAAACUGUAACUGACGCUGAGGCACGACAGCGUGGGGAUCAAACAGG